AGCAGAUACAGUUCUUUGGAUCUUCCUCUUCUUGACCUCAGGAAGUCCAGCAGCCAGGGUUUGCUUAAGCAGCUGUGGAUCAUUAUUAUCUAGUUUAAUCAGAAACAAAAAAGUGAUGGGAGUUUCGUGAAUAGGCCAAAAAGGAACACGUACGGGAAGGGGGGCGUGCGUGCCUGUUUCCGAGCCCUGGAUCGGGCCGCCGACUCGCGAUUCUUCAUCAUUCGUUUCUUGCGGGGGUCGACGGCGACAGCGUUCCCGGCGCCGCCAUCGGUGUUAGCGGCGGCGGCGGCGGCAGAAACGGCGGCGGCGGUCGAAGCGGCUGCUGCGGCGACGGC
This is a long non-coding RNA of Zingiber officinale, 335 nucleotides long. RefSeq lists it as uncharacterized. Lineage: Eukaryota; Viridiplantae; Streptophyta; Magnoliopsida; Zingiberales; Zingiberaceae. The transcript is spliced from 2 exons. The record is from RefSeq and is a predicted model, not a curated record.